CUACUCUGUAUGUGUGUGAGACUCCUGGUGCUUUGUGGACGUGUUUUCUUUUUGUCCCUAUUUCCUUGUUGUCCUAAUCUGAGGUUUACAUCUAAUGCAUGUGAUGUCUGCAGCGAUUGGACCACUGCUCCCACUGCUGCUUCUAUGGAUGUGCACUUUUUCCCCAGUUCCUCUAUGUAGACCUCCUGCUGGUUCCCCAAGCUUUCCACAAUCCUCAGUGUGUGUGUGCACUCUGGCAUCUACAUGGGCCCACGCCCCACAACAGAAACAAGCAAAGAUGAGUGUUAGGUGAGACAACCCGUCCCAGGCUACCCACCAGCCCCAACAGCACAGUUCUCCCUAAAUAUAAGCAAAAACUGCUUACCUUGGGCCCGUUGGAGAACUGAACUGCCGGAACCUGCUUCACCCGGGGCGGAACUGCUCUCCUGGUUGUCUUUCCUCAAAUCUCGGUAGGACCCUCCAGAUCUGUGGUGGAAAAUUCCACGCUCCUGGACUUCUUGACUAUUAGCACUCUGGAACCAAUUAACUCUUGUAAAGAAAACCAAUUAUCACUCUGGACCAAGCAUCCGAAAGAGACCACGUAGACAGAGACUUCCCAACACUGAUGAUCUUUAUUCACUAUAUCACAAUGAUAUUACAAUCCAAACAAUGUCUGAACUGCACUACCAAGCAAUAGAGUGAAGGCGGCGCUACCAGCUGGUACCUCGACGAGAUCGAUCUGAAGCUCUGGCUGCUCUGCUCUCCCUUAUAUUCUGUUCAGAAGCGCCUCCUUCUGAGAACGUCACCAGAUCUCGUUUAGCCAAUCAGAAAGAGCAAAGAAGCCAAAGGAUCCAAUCAUAAUGGUGGAAAGUUUCACCCACCUCCAUUUUAAAGAAUAUGA
Molecule: long non-coding RNA, 880 nt
Organism: Sardina pilchardus (European sardine)
Lineage: Eukaryota; Metazoa; Chordata; Actinopteri; Clupeiformes; Clupeidae
Exons: 3
Source: RefSeq, a predicted model, not a curated record